This 73-nucleotide transfer RNA is filed under the name Anaerolineaceae bacterium. RNAcentral describes it as "tRNA-Ile". It matches the Rfam family "tRNA". From Rfam's summary of the family: Transfer RNA (tRNA) molecules are approximately 80 nucleotides in length. Their secondary structure includes four short double-helical elements and three loops (D, anti-codon, and T loops). RNAcentral also lists the same sequence under 1 other name. Lineage: Bacteria; Bacillati; Chloroflexota; Anaerolineae; Anaerolineales; Anaerolineaceae. The record is from RNAcentral.
GGGCCCGUAGCUCAGUGGUCAGAGCGCGCGGCUCAUAACCGCUUGGUCGCAGGUUCGAUCCCUGCCGGGCCCA